UAUGAUGUCUGAUUUAUAAAUUUAGGCCGUAAUCCUGUCACCUUAGGUCGAUCGGUACCUCAGAUUAUUAACUGUGAAAUUGAGAAAUCACUUAUCACUAAAUUUUUUAAUUUCAGUUCCUAAACUUGUCUAGGUCACACCCAACAAACUUUCUCCUGGGCUAUUAGCUCAGGCGGUUAGAGCGCACCCCUGAUAAGGGUGAGGUCCCUGGUUCAAGUCCAGGAUGGCCCAUUCGUUGUUGGGGGUAUAGCUCAGUUGGUAGAGCGCCUGCUUUGCAAGCAGGAUGUCAGCGGUUCGAGUCCGCUUACCUCCACUGAUCAACUACCUGAUAACUCAAAUUGGAGAUUGUUAUUUGUUAAAUGUGAUUUAGAUGUUGUUCAACUGAAUGAACCUAGCUUCCUAUCAUUCCUGACUAAAUUUUAGGCUGAUAAGACGCUGGGCUCACUGAAUGUUUUAAACGACAUUCAGUUUGUUUCAGCAGAACCCUUGACAACUGCAUAGGAAAAUCUAGAAAAAUAAAGCAUCUCAUAGAUGCAUAGAGGUUUUUUCAUUUUUUUAAUGAUUAGAUUUCUGUGUUCAAUUCUUGAGUUAGAGCAAAUUAUCUAUUACUUAAUUCCACUUAAGAUAGGUGUUAUC
This 636-nucleotide transfer RNA is filed under the name uncultured Prochlorococcus sp. Its description in RNAcentral is "partial 16S-23S ribosomal RNA intergenic spacer". The stretch from base 241 to 313 matches the Rfam family "tRNA". Lineage: Bacteria; Bacillati; Cyanobacteriota; Cyanophyceae; Synechococcales; Prochlorococcaceae. The record is from RNAcentral.